This 1100-nucleotide ribosomal RNA is filed under the name uncultured organism. RNAcentral describes it as "bacterial SSU rRNA". It matches the Rfam family "Bacterial small subunit ribosomal RNA", at positions 209 to 1306 of the family's 1533-position model. The record is from RNAcentral.
GAUUAUUCGCCUAAGGAUGGGCCUGCGAUGGAUUAGCUUGUUGGUGGGGUAACGGCUCACCAAGGCAACGAUCUAUAGCCGAGUUGAGAGGCUGAUCGGCCACAUUGGAACUGAGACACGGUCCAGACUCCUACGGGAGGCAGCAGCUAAGAAUCUUCCGCAAUGGGCGCAAGCCUGACGGAGCGACGCCGCGUGAACGAUGAAGGCCUUUCGGGUUGUAAAGUUCUUUUAUAAGAGACGAAUGUCUGAUGUAGGUCAGGCUGACUGUAUCUUUUGAAUAAGGUCCGGCUAACUACGUGCCAGCAGCCGCGGUAAUACGUAGGGACCAAGCGUUGUUCGGAAUUAUUGGGCGUAAAGGGUACGUAGGCGGCAUGAUAAGUCAGAUGUGAAAUCCUUGGGCUCAACCUGAGGUCUGCGUCUGAUACUGUUGUGCUUGAGUUACUGAGAGGAAGACGGAAUUCCUGGUGUAGGGGUGAAAUCUAUAGAUAUCAGGAAGAACACCUAUUGCGAAGGCAGUCUUCUGGCAGCUAACUGACGCUGAUGUACGAAAGUUAGGGGUAGCAAACAGGAUUAGAGACCCUGGUAGUCCUAACCGUAAACGUUGUAUACUAGGUGGUUGAAGUAUUGAUCCUUUGACUGCCGGAGCUAACGCAUUAAGUAUACCGCCUGGGGAGUAUGCCGGCAACGGUGAAACUCAAAGGAAUUGACGGGGGCCCGCACAAGCAGUGGAGCAUGUUGUUUAAUUCGAAGAUACGCGAGAAACCUUACCAGGUCUUGACAUAUACCUGAAUGGUAUGGAAACAUAUCAGUCCUUCGGGACGGGUUAUACAGGUGCUGCAUGGUUGUCGUCAGCUCGUGCCGUGAGGUGUUGGGUUAAGUCCCGCAACGAGCGCAACCCCUAUUCUUUGUUGCUAACAGUUUAAGCUGAGCACUCUAAGAAGACUGCCGGUGACAAACCGGAGGAAGGUGGGGAUGACGUCAAAUCAUCACGGCCCUUAUGACCUGGGCUACAAACGUGCUACAAUGGCAGGCACAGAGAGUUGCGAAACAGUGAUGUAGAGCUAAUCUCAAAAAACCGUCCUCAGUUCGGAUUGGAGUCU